AGACGUCUACAUUAGAUACCCGCGUAGUCCCAGCCGUAAACUAUGCGCGUUAGGUGUAUCGGUGACCACGAGUUACCGAGGUGCCGAAGGGAAACCGUGAAACGUGCCGCCUGGGAAGUACGGUCGCAAGGCUGAAACUUAAAGGAAUUGGCGGGGAGCACCACAACAGGUGGAGCCUGCGGUUUAAUUGGACUCAACGCCGGGAAGCUCACCGGAUAGGACAGCAGAAUGAUUGCCGGGCUGAAGACCCUGCAUGACUAGCCG
Molecule: ribosomal RNA, 264 nt
Filed under: uncultured archaeon
Lineage: Archaea
Description: partial 16S ribosomal RNA
Rfam family: Archaeal small subunit ribosomal RNA
Source: RNAcentral